AAUACAAUAUUGAAGAUAAUUACUCAUCCAAAAUUCUCUUGCCUCAAUCACAUGAUUGAAACAUUGAAAAUCUAAAAGAUCAAAACACCAAAUAAAUCUUUACCAAAUAUCUUUCAAAGUUCAGAAGAUCUAAAGAGGUGACUAGAGUUUCAAUUCGUGAAGAACAAGUUCGUUCUUGGUGAUCCACAAAAAGAAAAGAAGUCCAGAGGUUCUUGAGCUGGUGUUCAAGCCCACAAUCGAGAGGAUCUUCAGUGAUUACAGGUUGGGGUUCAGAGUCUACUAAAGUUUAAUUAUGCUUGGAACAAAUCUGGAUUCAGAGGGUAUUUUGAAGGAAUCAAAGUCAACUCGAGAAGAUCAAGAAAAAGGAAAAUCGCUCAUCGACUGCCAGCAGACUGCUUGAGCGAUUUUAAUAGAAAGAGACCGCCCGCUAGGAGCCAAAUAGGCACAUGAACGACAGUGAUAUCUAGAGUCCAAAGAGGUGUCUGGAGUUUCAAUUCAUGAAGAAUGCAUUCGCUUUUGGUGAUCUACCAGGAGAAAGUAAGUCCAAAGGUUCUAGAGCUGGUGCUUGAGCGCACAACCUAGGAGUUCGCCGGUGAUUAUACGUUGGGGUAAGAGUCUAUUAAUGUUUAGUUGUGUAUGGACCAAUCCUGUAAGUUUAAUAUUUCCACUGGAUUAUUUACCGUUCGAAGGUUUUUUCUUUUGAAAAG
This is a long non-coding RNA of Olea europaea var. sylvestris, 707 nucleotides long. RefSeq lists it as uncharacterized. Lineage: Eukaryota; Viridiplantae; Streptophyta; Magnoliopsida; Lamiales; Oleaceae. The transcript has 3 exons. The record is from RefSeq and is a predicted model, not a curated record.